Molecule: ribosomal RNA, 401 nt
Filed under: uncultured bacterium
Lineage: Bacteria
Description: bacterial SSU rRNA
Rfam family: Bacterial small subunit ribosomal RNA
Source: RNAcentral
CGCAAGCCUGACGGUGCGACGCCGCGUGGAGGAUGAAGGCCUUCGGGUUGUAAACUCCUAACACGGGUUAAGAAGGUCAUGUCGUGAACAGCGGCAUGAUUGACGUAACCCCGAGAUGAAGCACUGGCUAACUCCGUGCCAGCAGCCGCGGUAAUACGGAGAGUGCAAGCGUUACUCGGAAUCACUGGGCUUAAAGGGCACGUAGGCGGCAUCGCAAGUCGGAUGUGAAAGCCCUCGGCUCAACCGAGGAACUGCAUCUGAAACUGCGAAGCUCGAGGACGGUAGGGGAGAGCGGAACUCCUGGUGGAGCGGUGAAAUGCGUAGAUAUCAGGAGGAACACCGGUGGCGAAGGCGGCUCUCUGGUCCGUUUCUGACGCUGAGGUGCGAAAGCCAGGGUAGCG